Molecule: RNA transcript, 1613 nt
Organism: Manihot esculenta (cassava)
Lineage: Eukaryota; Viridiplantae; Streptophyta; Magnoliopsida; Malpighiales; Euphorbiaceae
Gene name: bifunctional D-cysteine desulfhydrase/1-aminocyclopropane-1-carboxylate deaminase, mitochondrial
Exons: 10
Source: RefSeq, a predicted model, not a curated record
CAUCUCCACACUCCAAUAGCAUUUAUAUUGUAUUCCUGUAGAAAUAGAUAGUGAACAGAUGCUGUGCAAUCGGUACCUCUACUUUCCUUGUCCCCUGAGCUUUAAGAGGUCCGUCAGACCCAUAAACCAUCUCAUCGUCAGAUCACUAUACGGUAUUUCUCACCUUCAAACAAUGGAAUUCGACGAAAUCAACAAGCACAAGAGCUCUCUGGAUUUUCUCACUCACAAACCUUAUACUCCUCCUUCCUGGGCCUCCCAUCUCAAUCCCCUUCCUUCUCACCACUUCUCUCUUGGUCAUCUUCCUACUCCUAUUCAUCCAUGGAAGCUUCCUAAUUUGCCCAAUGGCACUGAGCUCUGGUUGAAGCGCGAUGAUCUAUCGGGCAUGCAAUUGAGUGGGAACAAAGUAAGAAAGUUGGAAUUCUUGAUGGCCGAUGCAGUGGCUAAUGGCGCUGACUGUAUCAUUACAAUUGGAGGCAUUCAAAGCAACCACUGCCGUGCCACUGCUGUUGCUGCCAAGUACCUUAAUCUUGACUGUUACCUUAUACUUCGCACUUCAAAGGUUCUUGUGGACCAAGAUCCUGGAUUGACGGGCAAUCUCUUGGUUGAACGUCUCAUUGGAGCUCAUGUUCAGCUUAUUUCGAAGGAGGAAUACGCACAAAUUGGGAGUGUGACUCUCACUAAUAUCUUAAAAGAAAAGUUGCUGAAGGAAGGGAGAAAACCAUAUGUUAUUCCCGUUGGUGGAUCAAACCCCAUAGGAACUUGGGGUUAUAUUGAAGCAACAAGGGAAAUUGAGCAACAAGUUCAGGCUAGUACUGGCAGAUUAAAAUUUGAUGAUAUUGUUGUAGCAUGUGGCAGUGGAGGUACGAUCGCUGGUCUGUCGCUAGGAUCUUGGCUUGGUACUUUGAAGGCAAAAGUUCACGCAUACUGUGUCUGUGAUGACCCUGAUUACUUUUACAACUUUGUUCAAGCCCUUACUGAUGGACUCAAAGCAGGAGUUAACUCAAGUGACAUUGUGGACAUUCAAAAUGCCAAAGGUUUGGGCUAUGCAAUGAAUACCUCUGAUGAGCUUCAGUUUGUCCGGGAAGUUGCUACAGCUACUGGUGUUGUUCUGGAUCCAGUUUACAGCUAGAAGAGAGAAUGUGAUGAUUUUUCAUCUUGAGGAUAUUCCCGUGUUAUAAAAAGCUGAAAAGCUAGAGGUCAUGUGUGGUUGAUGCUUUUGAAGAUCGGCUAGUGGGAAAGCAGCUUAUGGUAUGAUGAAAGACAUGAAAGAGAAUCCAGAAAAGUGGGAGGGAAGAAGGAUCCUCUUCAUACACACUGGUGGGCUUCUGGGAUUGUAUGACAAGGUCGAUCAGAUGGCUCCAUUGGUGAAAAACUGGUCCCGAAUGGACGUCGAUGAGUCAGUACCAAGGAACGAUGGUAUUGGCAAAAUGUUCUAGAAAGCAUCCCUAUCCAAAUGCAUCACUUGGCAGUGCACGAUAUCUUUGUGCUUAUUUUUAUUUAUUCUCGAGUUGAUCAUAAGAUUGUCCUACUGAUGUCGGUUAUGGAAUGCUCCAUGUCAUUCAUCUUUCUUCAGCUCAAGGCAAUGCGUUGCACCUUACUUAUUCAGUACUAAA